GUUCGAGUGACAACUGCUGCCCAUCUUGCACUGCUGGUGGCUAAAAACAUCUCCUUCUUUCCCAGCAAUGUGGAGCAAUUUUCUGAGGGCAACAUUGAUGUGUGGUGGAUUGUGCAUGAUGGGGGGAUGCUUAUGCUACUACCAUUCCUACUGAAACAGCACAAGGUGUGGCGAAAGUGCAGCAUACGGAUCUUCACAGUAGCCCAAUUAGAAGACAACAGUAUCCAAAUGAAGAAGGACCUAGCCACCUUCCUAUAUCACUUACGCAUUGAGGCGGAGGUAGAAGUGGUGGAGAUGGUGAGAAAGCUGAGUUUGAGAUACAAGAGGUUCAUUCCCCCAUUCCUCUCCCUGUCUUCCUUGAAUCUUUUCUGGUUUGGGAAAUUUUUCAGAUAUAAAUGUGGAUUAAUCCCCUAGUGCCAAAAAAAACCCUAAUUUGUUGCCCUAAGUAGAAUGUAUAUGUGAUGCAUGUUUGAUGUUAUUUUUUGGUUUUGCUUUCUUGUUUAUUACACAGCCCUUAUAUUUCUGCCAGAUUCUCAUCUGCUUAAUAUAGUUUUAUGAAAUUUUUAUUCAUAUAUUCAGCUUAAAAUCACACAUGGCUUUUAAAAAAAACCUAACUAU
RNAcentral lists this small RNA (618 nucleotides) under Pan troglodytes (chimpanzee). RNAcentral's name for it is "retained intron". The record is from RNAcentral. Lineage: Eukaryota; Metazoa; Chordata; Mammalia; Primates; Hominidae.